Molecule: ribosomal RNA, 514 nt
Filed under: Coelophora saucia
Lineage: Eukaryota; Metazoa; Arthropoda; Insecta; Coleoptera; Coccinellidae
Description: partial 12S ribosomal RNA
Source: RNAcentral
AGGUGAAAUUUUAAUUUAAUAUUAAUUUAUUUAUAUUUUUGAGAAGUUAAAAUAUUUUUUUUUAAACUAGGAUUAGAUACCCUAUUAUUAAAAAUUUAAUUUAUUAAACUAAGUGAUUAAUAGUUAAGUUCUUUAAAGCUAAAUGAUUUGGCGGUAUUUUAAUCUUUUCAGAGGAACCUGUUCAAUAAAUGAUAAUCCACGAUUAAAUUAACUUAAAUUAGAAAUUUUUAUAUCGUUGUUAUUAAAUAUUUUAUUAGAAUUUAAUAUUUAUUUUUUUUUAUAAGAAAAUAAAUCAAAUCAAGGUGAAGUUUAUAUUUAAGAUGAGAUGGGUUACAUUAAAUUUAAUUUAUGGAUAUUAAUUUUAAAAAUUUUUUGAAAUUGGAUUUGAAAGUAAUUAAAAAAAUAUUUUUUUAAUGAUUAAGCGCUAAAAUAUGCACAUAUUGCCCGUCGCUUUCAAUUAAUUUGGAAUAAGUCGUAACAUAGUAGUUUUACUGGAAAGUGAGUCUAGAAGAAA